Molecule: long non-coding RNA, 2711 nt
Organism: Oreochromis niloticus (Nile tilapia)
Lineage: Eukaryota; Metazoa; Chordata; Actinopteri; Cichliformes; Cichlidae
Exons: 4
Source: RefSeq, a predicted model, not a curated record
GGAAUUUCGGAUUUUGCACAGGUGGUUGGAUGUUACACUCUGGAAAUGGAAGGAAGGUGGCAGCUCGGACCCUCAGUCAUGCGUCCUCUCAUCGGGCUGUGCUGAGAACAUCCGUGUCUCUCCGGGAUGGUCGACUCACACGGAGGGUGUCGAACUUUCACUCUGAUUACUCAGACCCUCCUCCUCCCCGUCUCCACCUCAGACAGAGCUCCACCCGAGCCUCAUCUUCAUCUUCACCACCACCAGCAUCGAGACUCUGAGGGAUCCUGUCCCAACAUCAUCAGUGCAUUUUAAUGCUUAGACAGACGUUGCAGGAGGCCUUUACCUUCGUCACCGAGCCUCACAGCACAGUCUUCACCAUCCCUUAACUAACAGGAUACAGGUCCAGUCCGAAGAGUUCAGGUUCAGGAUUAAAGAGUUUGCAGUUUUGCUGCAGCGAGGUCAAAUGAAUCAGGACUGUUAAAGGGUCUGUCCUCAGAUAGAGAUACAGCGACAGUCCAGAUGCUUUCAUAUUUGCCAGCUUGUGUGUGAACAGAAAAUGAAGUGUCAAGCUGAGCGAUGUUCUCUGAUGAAAGAAUAAAUACAUGGAGAACAUUAUGUUCUGCCACUCUGAAAUAUUUACAUAAAAUAUAACAACAGGGAUUUGCGUGCCUGUAACCUUUAUUCUAGAUUGAUGUGACUUUGAUUUUUAGCUUGAGGCCACGUAACAAAUGUACGCACCGCUCACACGGCAGGGAUUUAUGGAGACAGCCUACUAUAGACGGAAAAGUUUCUCCGACUUUCUUUUCCUCGCUUCUCUUCUUCUUCCUCUGACACAUAAAUCUCGGGAUAAAUCUGGAGGAGAAAUUUCACAAAGAAGAAGUUCUUUAAUUUCAUCAGCACUCCUGACUGACAAGUAUCAUUAUGGAUAAAAUUAUCUCGGUAAUUAUCCUGCCCAGAGGAGAUUUAUAUCCCUUUGUGAGAGCUUAGAGGAGAAGCAGGAACGUCAGGACGUGGUCUGUGCAGCAGAGUAAGUGCUUUGUUAAAAUCAGCCUUUUACUGUGCGAGAGGCUCGUUGGAGGACUUAGUGUGAGGUUCCUGCUCUGCACUGGUUAUGCUAAACACAACUAUUUGUUUUUGUGAGAGAAACUUGGUUAUGAAAUAUCAGCGUUAGCAUUAGCCUAAUUUCUACUGUUAAACAGUAUUGAGACUGUUCCACUUUUAAGGUGGAAUUGGGUCUCAUUUGACUUCACCCUGAAGUUUAGUUUUGUUGCUUUAAGCCCAGUCUGACAAUGACCGACAUCUGAAUGUUUUCCUUCGACCGGGAUUUAUUCUUCUUUUCCUUGUUUGGGAUUUCCUUGUCCUGUCGUUUUGAUUUGUUAAAAACAAAUAAAUAAACACUGAGAAUGUGUAGGACAAAUCCCAGCUGCUUGGAUUUUGACAUUUUCAUCUGUAAAAAUGUUAAAAAUGUAUUUUUUAAAGACAAAACGCGUUCAAACUGUGUAGAUUUCGGUUAAUUACAACCUUUCUAAUUAGUGGACACAACUACACAAACUCACAUAUUCAUUCACUUUGUAACACUUCUUACAGCCACGAUCCUGAGUUUUCAGUUUUGGACUUUGAAUUUCUGUUUGAUGUUCUGUGUUUGACAAACUUUGGGCAGCUUUGCAGUUUUUAAUUUGGUUUAAUUUUAUGACUUUGCUUCGGUUGUGUUCUCGUUGGUGUUUGUUAUUUCGAGUUUAUCUUAAACUGAUCGUGUGCUUUACUCCCUUUGUAUUUAUUCCCUUCGCCUGUCUUUCCUGUUCCUUAUUUUGCUGGUCUUCAUCCCGUGUGCGCUGUGUUUAGCUUUGUGAACUGUCACACUGGCGAUUCUGUUUUGAGACAAACAUGAGGCGACGUUGAUGGAACCCUGAAACUGCAGAUAAACAUGAAUUCCAUAAAAUUCUAAUUCAUGUCAGCAGUAAUGAUGUUACAGACACAUCGGUCAGAGGUCACUAAAAUUAAUAUUCAGUCAUCGUGCAGCUUUCCCGAAACAGUAUCGACUCUGUUGUUUUCUCUGGUCCCCUCCCCAGUUAGAACAGGAGUCACAUGUUUAGUUGCAUGCUGUCUCUAAAUUGGCGGUCUGAGUGGUGUCCAACAAUUACGUGGGCUUUAUAGAUAACUGGGAAACCUGGUCUUGCUGGGCGAUACAGCAUACAUCCCAAUUUGGACAGAGCUGCUCUUAUUUAAAGAAAUCUGGCCAAGUUGUAAUAAACCCCCAAAAUGUGACUAUACAGAGUUUGGACCUGGAUUUUCAGUCUUACACUCCUCUCUGCAGCUUCUCUCCUCUGUUUAUACCCCAAAACUACAUCCUCUUAGAGCGGGGUGGGCAAAAGAUCAAAGAUCUAAAACUGUGAAGUCAAAAAUACAAGUCAUAAACAGGAAAACAAUAAUUACAAUAAUUACACCAGUAUUUCACUUGAUUUUUGACACAUAGCUAAAAAAUACUGAAUAGUUGUUUCACAAAUGUAAUCAUUUAAUCAACUUCAUAAGAUGUCUUUCAGCUCACGCUUCUCAUUCAGUGAGAAAACUAGAGCGACCAGGUGACGCUGAAUCCUCCCUUAUGCUUCAAUAGGUGGAGGCUGCUGGGGGAUUCCCAUGAUGCAUUGGGUGUUUCUUCUUCACUCACUAUGUGUUAACAGACCUCUGUGCAUUGAAUCAUAUCUGUUAUUAACCUCUGUCUCUCUUCCACA